UAAUUCGAUUUAAGAUUAAUUAAAUGAAUUGGUUUAAAUUCUUCUAAGUGUUGUAAAGAUGAUUCAAAAUUUUUGUGUAUAAAAAAGUUUAUUUUUACAGUGUAAUUUUAUUACAUCGAAUAGCUAAAUUUUAAAACCUAUCCUAUUUUUCAUUAGAGUUAAUAUUAGGCUUGAAAUGUUAGCGAAUCAUGGUACAGACAAUCAAGGACAUCCGUGUUCUUGCUAUUCUUCGCUGCGAAUAAUGAAAAUGACUCACAUCCCGUCGGGCUCGAUGUGAAACGUGCAGCGAUGGACAGCAAAGGCAUGAUGGCGGUCGUGCGCGGCCUACCCGACUCCGGCCUCAUGGUCACCCUUAUGGACGGCGGCAAGCAAUACACGCUCAUGCCUAAAACUGGUAUAAGCACAUCACCGACGUACGAAGUGUGCAAUAACUGCUUGUCGCGGCAGUCGCAGUGCGGCAACAGCGAGGUGAGGCCGCGGCAAGACAGCGGUGCUCAGGCAGUCGACGGACGUUAUGCAAGCAGUUAUAAGGUA
Molecule: long non-coding RNA, 534 nt
Organism: Papilio polytes (common Mormon)
Lineage: Eukaryota; Metazoa; Arthropoda; Insecta; Lepidoptera; Papilionidae
Exons: 4
Source: RefSeq, a predicted model, not a curated record